UGCAAGUUGCUUCCUACAUGUGAUCUCACA
Molecule: non-coding RNA, 30 nt
Filed under: Mus musculus (house mouse)
Lineage: Eukaryota; Metazoa; Chordata; Mammalia; Rodentia; Muridae
Source: RNAcentral